This 454-nucleotide ribosomal RNA is filed under the name uncultured Rhodocyclaceae bacterium. Its description in RNAcentral is "bacterial SSU rRNA". It matches the Rfam family "Bacterial small subunit ribosomal RNA", at positions 927 to 1382 of the family's 1533-position model. Lineage: Bacteria; Pseudomonadati; Pseudomonadota; Betaproteobacteria; Rhodocyclales; Rhodocyclaceae. The record is from RNAcentral.
AAGCGGUGGAUGAUGUGGAUUAAUUCGAUGCAACGCGAAAACCUUACCUACCCUUGACAUGUCCGGAAUCCGAAGAGAUUUGGGAGUGCUCGCAAGAGAACCGGAACACAGGUGCUGCAUGGCUGUCGUCAGCUCGUGUCGUGAGAUGUUGGGUUAAGUCCCGCAACGAGCGCAACCCUUGUCAUUAGUUGCCAUCAUUUGGUUGGGCACUCUAAUGAGACUGCCGGUGACAAACCGGAGGAAGGUGGGGAUGACGUCAAGUCCUCAUGGCCCUUAUGGGUAGGGCUUCACACGUCAUACAAUGGUCGGUACAGAGGGUUGCCAACCCGCGAGGGGGAGCUAAUCCCACAAAGCCGAUCGUAGUCCGGAUCGCAGUCUGCAACUCGACUGCGUGAAGUCGGAAUCGCUAGUAAUCGUGGAUCAGCAUGUCACGGUGAAUACGUUCCCGGGUCUU